GCGAAUACCGGAGAAUGUUAUCACGGGAGACACACGGCGGGUGCUAACGUCCGUCGUGAAGAGGGAAACAACCCAGACCGCCAGCUAAGGUCCCAAAGUCAUGGUUAAGUGGGAAACGAUGUGGGAAGGCCCAGACAGCCAGGAUGUUGGCUUAGAAGCAGCCAUCAUUUAAAGAAAGCGUAAUAGCUCACUGGUCGAGUCGGCCUGCGCGGAAGAUGUAACGGGGCUAAACCAUGCACCGAAGCUGCGGCAGCGACACUGUGUGUUGUUGGGUAGGGGAGCGUUCUGUAAGCCUGUGAAGGUGUGUCGUGAGGC
Molecule: ribosomal RNA, 315 nt
Filed under: Salmonella enterica subsp. enterica serovar Stanley
Lineage: Bacteria; Pseudomonadati; Pseudomonadota; Gammaproteobacteria; Enterobacterales; Enterobacteriaceae
Also listed under: 1 other name
Description: partial 23S ribosomal RNA
Rfam family: Bacterial large subunit ribosomal RNA
Source: RNAcentral